CCCUUAGAUGUUCUGGGCAGCACGCGCGCUACAAUGGUCUUCGCAAACGGAUGCAUUCUCGAAGGAGAAUGCCAAUCUUGGAAUCUAUGCCUUGGUCGGGACAGUUGCUUGCAAUUUUUCGACUCGAACCAGGAAUUCCUUGUAAUCGUGAUUCAUCACAUCACGAUGAAUACGUCCCUGCCCUUUGUACACACCGCCCGUCGCUCCUACCGAUCGAAGAGUUAGGUGAAUUGUUUUGAUCGAUAAGAUUUGACUAUGGUCUACUCUCGUUGUGAAAUUCUGUGAAUCUGACUGUUUAGAGGAAGGAAAAGUCGUAACA
RNAcentral lists this ribosomal RNA (319 nucleotides) under uncultured eukaryote. RNAcentral's name for it is "partial 18S ribosomal RNA". It matches the Rfam family "Eukaryotic small subunit ribosomal RNA", at positions 1470 to 1796 of the family's 1831-position model. The record is from RNAcentral.